This 229-nucleotide ribosomal RNA is filed under the name uncultured bacterium. Its description in RNAcentral is "partial 16S ribosomal RNA". It matches the Rfam family "Bacterial small subunit ribosomal RNA", at positions 568 to 796 of the family's 1533-position model. The record is from RNAcentral.
UGCGUAGGCGGCCAGAUCAGUCAGGCGUGAAAGUUUUCGGCUUAACCGGAAAAUUGCGUUUGAUACUGUUUGGCUAGAAUCAGGAUGAGGUUGGCGGAAUGUGACAUGUAGCGGUGAAAUGCAUAGAUAUGUCAUAGAACACCGAUUGCGAAGGCAGCUGACUGGACCUGAAUUGACGCUGAGGCACGAAAGCGUGGGGAGCGAACAGGAUUAGAUACCCUGGUAGUCC